Molecule: transfer RNA, 76 nt
Filed under: Schaalia zhouxuedongae
Lineage: Bacteria; Bacillati; Actinomycetota; Actinomycetes; Actinomycetales; Actinomycetaceae
Description: Schaalia sp. ZJ405 tRNA-Lys
Rfam family: tRNA
About the family: Transfer RNA (tRNA) molecules are approximately 80 nucleotides in length. Their secondary structure includes four short double-helical elements and three loops (D, anti-codon, and T loops).
Source: RNAcentral
GCGUCAUUAGCUCAGUUGGUAGAGCAGCUGACUCUUAAUCAGCGGGUCGAGGGUUCGAGUCCCCCAUGACGCACCA